UUGCCAGACUUGUUACAAGGUUGUUUUAACAAGUCUGAUACAGUCAUGAUAUAACAAGAAUGUUACUAGGUUGACGAUACAAGGUUGCAACAUAUUGUUAUAUCAUGACUGUAUAGAACUUGUUGGAACAACCUUGCAACAAGUCUGAUGA
RNAcentral lists this microRNA precursor (151 nucleotides) under Paramuricea clavata. The record is from RNAcentral. Lineage: Eukaryota; Metazoa; Cnidaria; Anthozoa; Malacalcyonacea; Plexauridae.